This 253-nucleotide ribosomal RNA is filed under the name uncultured prokaryote. RNAcentral describes it as "partial 16S ribosomal RNA". It matches the Rfam family "Bacterial small subunit ribosomal RNA", at positions 525 to 777 of the family's 1533-position model. The record is from RNAcentral.
ACAGAGGGUGCAAGCGUUGUUCGGAAUCACUGGGCGUAAAGCGCGCGCAGGCGGAUGGUUGCGUCCGGAGUGAAAUUUCGCCGCUCAACGGCGAAGCUGCUUUGGAUACGGACCGUCUAGGGACCGGUAGAGGCUGGUAGAAUUGCAGGUGUAGCGGUGGAAUGCGUAGAGAUCCGGAAGAACACCGGAGGCGAAGGCGGCUUGCUGGGCGUUGUCUGACGCUGAGGCGCGAGAGCGUGGGGAGCGAACAGGA